UACGUAGGGUGCAAGCGUUAAUCGGAAUUACUGGGCGUAAAGCGUGCGCAGGCGGUCCGUUAAGACAGAUGUGAAAUCCCCGGGCUUAACCUGGGAACUGCAUUUGUGACUGCAUUGCUGGAGUGCGGCAGAGGGGGAUGGAAUUCCGCGUGUAGCAGUGAAAUGCGUAGAUAUGCGGAGGAACACCGAUGGCGAAGGCAAUCCCCUGGGCCUGCACUGACGCUCAUGCACGAAAGCGUGGGAGCAA
This 247-nucleotide ribosomal RNA is filed under the name uncultured bacterium. RNAcentral describes it as "partial 16S ribosomal RNA". It matches the Rfam family "Bacterial small subunit ribosomal RNA", at positions 524 to 771 of the family's 1533-position model. The record is from RNAcentral.